GGCGGCAAGGGCUGACGGAGGAGUGCCUGGGGGAGGGGAGGAUGGUGCCUGAGUGGUGAUGGGAGAUGGGGGGAUGAUGAAAGAGGCAGGAAUGGGGAGACAGGAGCUGGUGGUUCUCCUGGGGGUCUCUCUCACAGCCUGGGAGUGAAGGGGUUUUCCAUGUGCAAACCAACCAUCUUGUUCAGGGGUUAGUGGUGUUGAUGGAAGUAGCGUGAGGGGACAGUAGCUAGCAGGAAUGGGAUGAAUGAAGAGAUGAGAACUUUAGGGUAAAACUCAUGGAGAGUUCCCUGGGAAUGAAAUGUGAUGGACUGUGGAAUGAUUCCUUGAGGAACUGUGGAAGCCCUAUCGUUUGGGACUGGACCAAACCUUUGAAAAGAGACCUUUAAGGAGAAAUCUUGCAGAAGAAUGUAAAAAUGGCCAUACUGGGUCAGAUCAAUGGUCCAUCUAAUCCAGUAUCCUGUCUUCAAACAGUGGCCAGUACCAGAUGCUUCAGAGGAAAAGAACAGAACAGGACAGUUAUCGAGUGAAAUUAUCAGUAGAACAGAUGGACUAGAAUCUAACCGGUCUUUGCCAGCACUAACGUCUGAGAUUCUCUUGAUCUGUCCCAUUCUUUUUCAGCAUGAAAGAGGCCACAGUGUGAGCCCCCUCUGAUGAGACUUCCAUUUCUGGUCACCCACUUAUGCAUUGUUAUUUGCAGCAUCUAGUGAGAAAGGCCAUCUCAGUCAGCACACUAGGUAAUGUGACAGCCAAAAACUGCCUACGUAAUCCUUUAGCUUCUGCAAACCCUCUCUUCCAAGGCUCUCAAAGCACUUUAUAAACAUAUACAAAGCAUCCCCACAUUUCUGUGAGGUAUAUAAUAUAGGAAUGCUUCCAACUACAUCUGGGGCCAAAUGUAGCACCUGUUUAACAGCAUGGAAAAUGUCACAUAAUCGUUUAGGGCAGGACAUAAGGAGCCCUAUAUGCAGUUGAAACAGCAGGGGAAUUUAGGUCAGCAUAAUGGGCCAGAACACCUGAAAAUGGCCAGUGUUUAGUGGCCAGCUUCUAAAUGUUAUGAUUCAUCUAAACCUAGCCUUUGCAGCAACACGGCGCCCAUUAAGGGGCAUUGAUUCAGAGGAGAAAGCACUCUACCGAAUCAGCAGCAAAGAGUCCUGUGGCACCUUAUAGACUAACAGACGUAUUGGACCAUGAGCUUUCGUGGGUGAAUACCCACUGCGUCGGAUGCUCAUUCAUCCAACCACUGCCCCCAGCCUGACACUGCUUGUGUGUGAGAACUGAUAGGGUCAGAGGAAAUAGUGGUACCUCCAAAGGCGUCAUCUCAAGUUUCAGAGUGGAAAUGUGAUGUGAUCAGUCAAGUAAAUUGCCUAAGGGAGUGAUAUGAACAGGAAGAAGAGAGAGGCAACGGGAGAUGGCGGGGGGAAAAAUCAGCUUAGAGGAGAAAACAGCAGAAACAUGCAACUAGGAGUCCUGGCUCGGCAUCCUAUUGGCUGUGGCGCUGUACCUGCACCGAACAGAGAGACCGUCAUUGCAUCAUCGGCUCUGCACGGACAGCGGAGCUACUUCUGUGCGCUGCUCUUGUUCCACUGGAUGGAGACGCCUCCUUCGCUUUCUUUCGUUUUAUUUACGUGGGUUGGAUGAAAUGCACUGAUUGCCCCACGAGCAUGCGUGGAUGAGACCGAGACAGGACGCAAACCAACUCCCUCCUUCCCCUCCAAAAAAAUCCUACACAUCGUGCACUCAGAGCUCAGCUGCAUUUCCUGACCGCUUGGCAGCGAAAUCAACCACCUUAAUUUUUGCGUGUUAAAAAAACAAUAAAAAUCAAAUCACACCCCUCACCACGAUAGUUCUACCAGUACAACAACUGUGUGCAGAGCAGCCCUUGGACACAGACUUUGGGUUUAUCUCCACGGAGCAGCAACGCAGGCCAGAGAAUCUCACCCACCCACUCCUGUAACAAACCCCUGACCUAUGGCUGAGCUAUUGAAGUCCUCAACUUGUGCUUUAAAGACUUCAAGGUGCAGAGAAUCCU
Long non-coding RNA from Chrysemys picta bellii (western painted turtle), 2026 nucleotides. RefSeq lists it as uncharacterized. The record is from RefSeq and is a predicted model, not a curated record. Lineage: Eukaryota; Metazoa; Chordata; Testudines; Emydidae.